RNAcentral lists this ribosomal RNA (245 nucleotides) under uncultured archaeon. RNAcentral describes it as "partial 16S ribosomal RNA". It matches the Rfam family "Archaeal small subunit ribosomal RNA", at positions 474 to 719 of the family's 1478-position model. The record is from RNAcentral.
UACCGGCGGCUCGAGUGGUGGCCGAUAUUAUUGAGUCUAAAGGGUCCGUAGCCGGCUUCGUGGGUCCCCCGGGAAUCCAGCGGCUUAACCGUUGGUCGUCCGUGGGAUACCGCGUUGCUUGGGACCGGGAGAGGUGGGAGGUACUCGGGGGGUAGGGGUGAAAUCCUGUAAUCCUCCGGGGACCACCGGUGGCGAAGGCGUCCCACCAGAACGGGUCCGACGGUGAGGGACGAAAGCUAGGGGCA